This is a long non-coding RNA of Girardinichthys multiradiatus, 167 nucleotides long. RefSeq lists it as uncharacterized. Lineage: Eukaryota; Metazoa; Chordata; Actinopteri; Cyprinodontiformes; Goodeidae. The transcript has 2 exons. The record is from RefSeq and is a predicted model, not a curated record.
ACUAGAGCUCACUCAACAGCACCAGUGAAACCAUCUGGAUUACUCCGUUUUGCAAGCCUGGACCCCGAAUCCCUCUACCCCUGGCGACCUGACUGCACUUUAUUUAUUGGCGAUUCACUCGUUCAUGUUCCAGACUCACUUGCUGUAAAUAAAACACCUUUUACUGA